UUACAGCAGAAAAGUCUAGAACGGCAAUUAAUGUGUUGAACAAAUGCCUAAUCAGAAUCGUUGAAAUCUGUCGUAUCAUCUGUCCAUCAUUUCUCUAUUCUUGUUUGAUGAUUUCAAUAGUCAGGAAAACCUUUUCUUUCAAAAACUUAUCUUUUCUUUGAAGCUUUCCUCUCUUUUUACCUUCAUCUCUGAAACAUUUCUUAAUUUGGUUCACGCACCCCGUCAAUCUUCUUUUGAUUUUCAGUAUACUCAGGGACAUUCAUUUCUAGGUACACCUCCUCUUUUCUUUUUAAAGUUUCCGUUGCGAAUAUAUGAGCAAAGACAUUUACAGAUCUCGAUAUAUGUUUGAACAUGAAAUUACUAGAUUCAUUUAUUCUCUGUUGAAUAUCAUAUAUAUAUAUAUGCUCCUAUCAGUGAUCGAUCUUGACUCUUGGUUUUACAUUUCUUGAUUAUUGCGAGGGAAUCUCCUUCGAUGAUGAUUGUCGGCCAUUUCUUUUGAAUCCCUAUUUGGACUGCUUUCUAGCAUGCAAUUGCUUCAGCAGCCAAGGCAAAGGUAAUCCCUUGAUGGAUUUCUGAGCAAGAUAAAAGAACUUUUCCUUCUUCAUUUCGGACCAUAAUACCUGAAGCUGAAUGAUUUUGACUCCAAUCAUACGCACCAUCGAAGUUGAUUUUAAUGAACUCACAAGAAUGCACAGCAGAAAAGGCGACAAUGACAAGGGGUAAACUGAUCAAACACCCAGGACAUUCACAAAAUAAAUGAUUGAUUAUGUCAGCUCUUUCUCCACAUCGAGGGCAACUUGUGUUGCUUGCUAAUUUUCUGUGCUGCAUGUUCACCUUUGUAGGCAAAUAAUUCCAUGAAAAUCUCCAGAUUGUAGUCUUGAUUUUUGUUGGUAGAUUUAGAAGCCAAAGUUUUUUGUAAAAUUUCCUGAAGAUGGUUUGUAAAGCGUAAGCUCUAGGAUUUUCAUCAGAACUUUGUAAUAGUUUAUAGGCACUACGAACCAAAAAUUCACCCGAAGAUUCACCUCCCUAGAUAAGGAAAUCAUCAUGGGGUUGUAACAGCCCGUCUUUAGGUCAAAUUAGAACAGUGGUUUCAAGACCAUAAAUUUGAAGUCAAAAUAUUUAUUUUAUUAUUUUAAUAA
This is a long non-coding RNA of Gossypium arboreum, 1139 nucleotides long. RefSeq lists it as uncharacterized. The transcript is spliced from 3 exons. The record is from RefSeq and is a predicted model, not a curated record. NCBI's taxonomy places the organism in Eukaryota, Viridiplantae, Streptophyta, Magnoliopsida, Malvales, Malvaceae.